GUUUGACUCGCUCAAUGAAAAUUAAAUAGCCGCGGUAUUUUGACCGUGCAAAGGUAGCAUAAUCAUUAGUCUUUUAAUUGAAGGCUGGAAUGAAUGGUUUAACGAGGAGUUGACUGUCUCUAAUUAAUAUAUUGAAUUUAACUUUUGAGUGAGAAGGCUUAAAUUUAAUUUAAGGACGAGAAGACCCUAUAGAGCUUUUUUAUUUUGUUAAUAUUGAUUAAGACUAUUUUUUUAUUUUGUUUAAUGAUUUGUAUUUUGUUGGGGUGACAGUGAAGAUAAAUAAACCUUUAUUUUUUUUUUCAUUAUUGUAUGUUUUUUGAUCCCGAAUUUUGGAACAUAAGAUUAAGUUACCUUAGGGAUAACAGCGUAAUUAUUUUUGAGAGUUCUUAUUAACAAAAUAGAUUGCAACCUCGAUGUUGGAUUAAGAUAAAGAUUAGGUGCAAUGGCUUAAUUGUUAGGUCUGUUCGACCUUUAAAUUCUU
This 481-nucleotide ribosomal RNA is filed under the name Stiphra robusta. RNAcentral describes it as "partial 16S ribosomal RNA". It matches the Rfam family "Archaeal large subunit ribosomal RNA", at positions 1979 to 2666 of the family's 2987-position model. The record is from RNAcentral. Lineage: Eukaryota; Metazoa; Arthropoda; Insecta; Orthoptera; Proscopiidae.